RNAcentral lists this ribosomal RNA (321 nucleotides) under uncultured bacterium. RNAcentral describes it as "bacterial SSU rRNA". It matches the Rfam family "Bacterial small subunit ribosomal RNA", at positions 32 to 342 of the family's 1533-position model. The record is from RNAcentral.
AAUCAACGCUGGCGGCGUGCCUCAGACAUGCAAGUCGAACGAUUAAAGCUCUCUUCGGAGAGUGUAUAGAGUGGCGCACGGGUGAGUAACACGUAAGUAAUCUACCUUUGAGUGGGGAAUAACAGUCGGAAACGGCUGCUAAUACCGCAUAACGGCAGCGGCACCGCAAGGUGACAGUUGUUAAAGGAGCAAUCCGCUUAAAGAGGAGCUUGCGGCAGAUUAGCUUGUUGGUAAGGUAACGGCUUACCAAGGCUACGAUCUGUAUCCGGUCUAAGAGGACGGUCGGACACACUGACACUGAAUAACGGGUCAGACUCCUAC